This 155-nucleotide ribosomal RNA is filed under the name uncultured Piscirickettsia sp. RNAcentral's name for it is "partial 16S ribosomal RNA". Lineage: Bacteria; Pseudomonadati; Pseudomonadota; Gammaproteobacteria; Thiotrichales; Piscirickettsiaceae. The record is from RNAcentral.
CCCCUACGGGAGGCAGCAGUGGGGAAUAUUGGACAAUGGGGGGAGGCGUGAAAAAGCAAUGCCCAGACGUGAAGAAGGCGUUAGAGACAAAAGCGGUUUCAGCGGGGAGGAAGGUAAGACAAGAAAGAGCAGAACAAAGAAGUACGUGAGAGAGC